AAAAAACCCCACCCCUCCACGCGAGUCCCUCACCCGCAUACACCCCCUCACGCCAAACACCCCUCCUUCUCCUUCGAAACACACACUCAAGCCCUAGGGUUCCCCAAACGGCCAAACCUAAAACCCAGCUUUGUCAACGGAACCGCCGCCGCCGUCCGUGGUUGUCGGCGUCUCCGCGGCCUCCUCCUUCCCUUGUCCCAAAUCUAUACGGCCAGACCUUCUCUUCUAGACUUUCUAACUCGGCACGUUGUCCUGUCUUCGUCGGUGACUUCGGUGUUCGAGGCUUCCAGCUGCUGCGCCGUUGUGUCGCCGUCGUCGUCUUGCUGUCAGUGGAAGGUUUAGAGCCAAGAAGCUCCUCAAGCAGGCAACAUUGUUGAACAGAUUGUUGUUCAAAUCAUAGUGGUGUUGGCAUAUGUUGGGGGAGAAUAGAGCACUGCAAGGUUACUCAUCUGCACUGUGGAUUGUUCAGCAGCGGCCCCGAAAAGAGCACCGUUGUGUCCCUCAUAGAGAGAUUCUAUGACCGUUCAUCAGGACAAGUUUUGCUAGAUGGGAAUGAUGUUAAGAGUUUGAAGCUAAAAUGGUUGAGGCAGCAAAAGGACUAUUGAGCCAAGAACCGGCAUUGUUUGUGACAACAUUCAGAAGCUGACCAAGUUGAGAUUGAAGAAGCAGCAAGAGUAGCCAAGUUUAUAAUUUAUUUAUUUUAUUCUAAAACGAUUUUUUCGGUUGAAUUACGGUU
Molecule: long non-coding RNA, 736 nt
Organism: Arachis ipaensis
Lineage: Eukaryota; Viridiplantae; Streptophyta; Magnoliopsida; Fabales; Fabaceae
Source: RefSeq, a predicted model, not a curated record